UACGUAGGGACCGAGCGUUGUCCGGAAUCAUUGGGCGUAAAGAGCGUGUAGGCGGCUUGCUAAGUCUUGCGUGAAAUCUCGGGGCUCAACCCCGAGCGGUCGUGGGAAACUGGCAGGCUAGAGUCCGGGAGAGGCGAGUGGAAUUCCCAGUGUAGCGGUGAAAUGCGUAGAUAUUGGGAGGAACACCAGUGGCGAAGGCGGCUCGCUGGGCCAUUCCUGACGCUGAGACGCGAAAGCUAGGGGAGCGAACAGG
RNAcentral lists this ribosomal RNA (253 nucleotides) under uncultured bacterium. RNAcentral's name for it is "partial 16S ribosomal RNA". It matches the Rfam family "Bacterial small subunit ribosomal RNA", at positions 524 to 776 of the family's 1533-position model. The record is from RNAcentral.